GUGAGCGGAGAGAGGGACCAAGGAUGCUGGCAAGGUUCGGGGCUCACACAGCUGCAAGGACGGGCCUGGGGUCCCCGCGGUGACUGAACAGGGGUAAAGGCAGAGCCAAAAGGCUCUGCCAAAAGGCAGAACCAGUGCGGCAGCAGGAGAAGUGCUGCAGAUUCCAGGCUGGCAAGCUGAGUCUGGGCAGGGGAUGGGGUCGCCAGAGCCAUGGGAUGCUUUGGUUGCCCUUCUUCUCUGCGGCUCCCGAGGGACAUCCCGUGACUCAUCUCACUCUGGAGCCAAGGGGAUCCGUCACCUGGAUGGGGAGCUGCUGUGCCUCUGGGGAUUAUGCCCUCGGCAGACAGACAUCCGAGGUCUCCCUCUGCAGAUUCCUUGGUGCAGAUUUGCCAGAAAAUGACCUAAAGGUACCCGCGUACUCACAUCCAGUGCAUCGGAGGAGAAGAGCCAGGCCUGCAGGAUGCCGCCCACUCAGGCCCAGAAGACCCCAGCCAGCCCGCCCCAAGGUGACUCCCAUUCUGUUCCCUCCAGGCGGGCCCCUCCCUCCUGAGAGCUCAGCCCGGAAGAGCACCUCCCUGAA
Balaenoptera acutorostrata (minke whale) is the source of this 580-nucleotide long non-coding RNA. RefSeq lists it as uncharacterized. The record is from RefSeq and is a predicted model, not a curated record. The transcript is spliced from 3 exons. Lineage: Eukaryota; Metazoa; Chordata; Mammalia; Artiodactyla; Balaenopteridae.